GACGAACGCUGGCGGCGUGCUUAACACAUGCAAGUCGAGCGAGGCCCACCUUUCGGGGUGGUGUCCUAGCGGCGAACGGGUGAGUAACACGUGGGUAACCUGCCCUCAGCUCUGGGAUAACUCCAAGAAAUUGGGGCUAAUACCGGAUAUGACUGCUGACCGCAUGGUCUGGUGGUGGAAAGAUUUAUCGGCUGGGGAUGGGCCCGCGGCCUAUCAGCUUGUUGGUGGGGUAGUGGCCUACCAAGGCGACGACGGGUAGCCGGCCUGAGAGGGUGACCGGCCACACUGGGACUGAGACACGGCCCAGACUCCUACGGGAGGCAGCAGUGGGGAAUAUUGCGCAAUGGGCGAAAGCCUGACGCAGCGACGCCGCGUGGGGAUGACGGCCUC
Molecule: ribosomal RNA, 390 nt
Filed under: uncultured bacterium
Lineage: Bacteria
Description: bacterial SSU rRNA
Rfam family: Bacterial small subunit ribosomal RNA
Source: RNAcentral